Molecule: non-coding RNA, 954 nt
Filed under: Heniochus diphreutes (false moorish idol)
Lineage: Eukaryota; Metazoa; Chordata; Actinopteri; Chaetodontiformes; Chaetodontidae
Description: 12S rRNA
Rfam family: Bacterial small subunit ribosomal RNA
Source: RNAcentral
CAAAAGUUUGGUCCUGACUUUACUAACAAUUCUAGCUAAACUUACACAUGCAAGUAUCCGCGCCCCGGUGAGAAUGCCCUUUACCCCCUGCCUGGGAACAAGGAGCUGGUAUCAGGCACACUUAAAUGAAGCCCACGACACCUUGCUUAGGCCACACCCCUACGGGAAUCCAGCAGUGAUAAACAUUAAGCAAUGAGUGAAAACUCGACUUAGUUAAUGCUAUUUAGAGCCGGUAAAACUCGUGCCAGCCACCGCGGUUAUACGAGAGACUCAAGUUGUUAGUUAUCGGCGUAAAGAGUGGUUAAGAUAAAACAUAAACUAAAGCCGAACGCCUUCAACGCUGUUAUACGCCUCCGAAGGUAAGAAGCUCAACUACGAAAGUGGCUUUACCCAAUUCUGACCCCACGAAAGCUAGGAAACAAACUGGGAUUAGAUACCCCACUAUGCCUAGCCCUAAACAUUGACAGUAUACUACAUCUACUGUCCGCCUGGGAACUACGAGCACCAGCUUAAAACCCAAAGGACUUGGCGGUGCUUUAGACCCACCUAGAGGAGCCUGUCCUAGAACCGAUAAUCCCCGUUAAACCUCACCCUUCCUUGUUCUUUUCAGCCUAUAUACCACCGUCGUCAGCUCACCCUGUGAAGGCCCAAUAGUAAGCAAGAUCGGCACCGCCCAAAACGUCAGGUCGAGGUGUAGCCUAUGGAAGGGGAAGAGAUGGGCUACAUUCACUGGAACAGUGAAUACGAAUGAUCACCCUGAAACGGGUAUCUGAAGGAGGAUUUAGCAGUAAGCAAAAAAUAGAGUGUUUUGCUGAAGUUGGCCCUGAAGCGUGCACACACCGCCCGUCACUCUCCCCAAACUUAGCCCGGAUAUAUAAUUAAUACCCCACAAAAACUAAGGGGAGGCAAGUCGUAACAUGGUAAGCGUACCGGAAGGUGCGCUUGGAACAAACC